AAUAGAUCAUACUCUAAUCGUUUCAAUCUUUAUAGAAUCCGAUUAUUUUUAAAGCUCUACAGUCAAGAUUUUACGCAUCAACUGGUUGGAAAGUAACGAAGGGUAAAGAUGUUGCGAGGUAUUCAGCUGCUGCUGCAAUCGGUUUUCUUGGAUUAACUUUCGCUUCUGUCCCUUUAUAUCGAAUAUAUUGUCAAACUACUGGUCAGGCUGGUCAACAAGGGUUCGUUGGAUCGACUGUUGAUCAAGUUGAGAAGAUGAAGAUUGACAAAAGUCGUAGACUGAGGGUAUCAUUUGUUGCUGAUGCCACCAAUGAUCUUCAAUGGGAAUUUAAACCGAUUCAACAGUCAAUUGAGGUCAGUCCUGGGGAGACAACAUUGGCAUUUUUUACAGC
Tetranychus urticae (two-spotted spider mite) is the source of this 391-nucleotide non-coding RNA. NCBI's taxonomy places the organism in Eukaryota, Metazoa, Arthropoda, Arachnida, Trombidiformes, Tetranychidae. The record is from RefSeq and is a predicted model, not a curated record.